This 121-nucleotide ribosomal RNA is filed under the name Bison bison bison. The record is from RNAcentral. Lineage: Eukaryota; Metazoa; Chordata; Mammalia; Artiodactyla; Bovidae.
CGUUCAGGCCGUAUCAGCCCUGAAGGCGCCCGAUCUCGUCUGAUCUCGGAAGCUAAGCAGGGUCGGGCCUGGGUAGUAUCUUGGAUGGGAGACCACCUGGGAAUCCCGGGUGCUCGAGGCU